Molecule: ribosomal RNA, 468 nt
Filed under: uncultured bacterium
Lineage: Bacteria
Description: partial 16S ribosomal RNA
Rfam family: Bacterial small subunit ribosomal RNA
Source: RNAcentral
GACGAACGCUGGCGGCGUGCUUAACACAUGCAAGUCGAACGGAAAGGCCCUGCUUUUGUGGGGUGCUCGAGUGGCGAACGGGUGAGUAACACGUGAGUAACCUGCCCUUGACUUUGGGAUAACUUCAGGAAACUGGGGCUAAUACCGGAUAGGAGCUCCUGCUGCAUGGUGGGGGUUGGAAAGUUUCGGCGGUUGGGGAUGCACUGGGUGCGUAUCAGCUGGUUGGCGGGGUAGUGGCUUACCAAGGCUUCGACGGGUAGCCGCCCUGAGAGGGUGACCGGCAAAAUUGCGACUGAGAUACGGCACAGACUCCUACGGGAGACAGCAGUGGGGAAUAUUGCACGAUGGGCGCAAGCCGGAUGCAGCAACGCCGCGUGCGGGAUGACGGCCUUCGGGUUGUAGGCCGCAUUGGCCUGUGACGAAGCGUGAGUGACGGUAAUGGGUAAAGAAGCACCGGCUAACUACGUG